This 65-nucleotide transfer RNA is filed under the name Dipodomys ordii (Ord's kangaroo rat). It matches the Rfam family "tRNA". From Rfam's summary of the family: Transfer RNA (tRNA) molecules are approximately 80 nucleotides in length. Lineage: Eukaryota; Metazoa; Chordata; Mammalia; Rodentia; Heteromyidae. The record is from Rfam by way of RNAcentral.
GGUGGCUCAGUGGUAGAGUGCUUGCUUUGCAUGCCUGAGGCCCUGGGUUCAAUUCCCCAGCACCA